Molecule: long non-coding RNA, 954 nt
Organism: Haliotis rubra (blacklip abalone)
Lineage: Eukaryota; Metazoa; Mollusca; Gastropoda; Lepetellida; Haliotidae
Exons: 3
Source: RefSeq, a predicted model, not a curated record
CAUAACAAUAUUUAGUCGGUAUAUACUUCAACAGAUACAUCCUGUUCAGCAAUUGUGCAGAUUAUGUCCCUUGAAGGAAGUUUUUUUGCUAACAACAGAUAAAAUGAUCUUUUCCCACUCUGACGGAAGCGCAUAUAAAAUAAUCCUAUAACAUUGUUGUAUUGAACUUGUGUCUAUCUCAGGUAAGGUAUCAUGGACAAUUUUCACAAUAAUAUGUUCAGACAUGAAUUUGGGAAUGACUUCCAAACAAAUAUGUUUAAUACAAAUAAUCCCACUCGAAAUGAACGAUUGAAAAAUGAGAGUUUUUCCAUUAAAUGUAAUCAGUGGAUUUUUAAACAGUGGUUGAAUCAUAGUGUCCAUUAUAUUCCGAAGUAAUGGUAUUUUUCCUUCAUUAAUUUCGUUCCAUGCAGCGAAAAGCCCAGCAUAAAAGGGCUUAUAUUCUGUAAAUAAGAUUAAUUAUAUUCAAGAGAUAAGGCAUGAAUUCCCAAGUUCAUUGUCAAAAGAUGAGACAUAAAAUAUUCCAUGGUUUGUUUCCAAAUACAGUUGAGAUGACUAUUACCGAAAGCUCUCAGCAAUUUUAGCCUCAAUGCAUAUUUUUUAAAACGUAAGAUUGGUAAAUUUAAACCUCCAUCUACACAAACACCAAUGCAAGUAUCAAAUGCUAUUUUGGCAGUCUUAUUGCGCCACAACAAAUUCCUAAACAUCUGAGCAAAUUUAUUUUCAACCCACUGUGGAACAGGUAUUACAGUAAACAUAUACCACAAUCGAGAGCUCAUAAGUAUAUUUAUUACAAUGGCUCUGCCUUGUAAAGUGAGCUGUCAGCGAAGCCAAGAAUUUAAUAAUAGUUUGCAUUUUUUGUAUUUUCUUUUAGCAAUUUAAUGUUUCACACAUUGUUUUAUCCGUACCAAAGUAAAUGCCUAGUAUUUCUAUACAAUCUCUUAACUUUAACUGGGA